RNAcentral lists this ribosomal RNA (395 nucleotides) under uncultured bacterium. Its description in RNAcentral is "bacterial SSU rRNA". It matches the Rfam family "Bacterial small subunit ribosomal RNA", at positions 505 to 898 of the family's 1533-position model. The record is from RNAcentral.
GUGUCAGCAGCCGCGGUAAUACGAAAGGUGCAAGCGUUGUUCGGAAUUACUGGGCGUAAAGCGCACGUAGGCGGGUCUGUAUGUCGAUUGUGAAAGCCCCGGGCUCAACCUGGGAAUUGCAGUCGAAACUGCAGAUCUUGAAUACCUGAGAGGGUGGGGGAAUUCCUGGUGGAGAAGUGAAAUUCGUAGAUAUCAGGAGGAACACCUGAGGCGAAGGCGCCUGCCUGGCAGUGUAUUGACGCUGAUGUGCGAAAGCGUGGGGAGCAAACAGGAUUAGAUACCCUGGUAGUCCACGCCGUAAACGAUGGAUACUAGGCGUUCGGAGUGUUAACCCUCUGAGUGCCAAAGCUCACGCAUUAAGUAUCCCGCCUGGGGAGUACGGUCGCAAGGCUAAA